GCAAGCCCAUUUCUUAGCUGGAUGGGUGAAGUGUUCCCUCAGUUCACAUAGACCAGGCUUCCUCUUUAGAGGCAUAAGCUGUAAAACAGGAGAGUCUGUUUUAAGAGGAUCUGUUUGAAGUUUAAUGUAACUGAAGUCCAUGCACCUGAAGCCAUUAAUUGAUAUAAGUGGUUACCAAGGCAUCAGGGCAGAGACUCCCUGAGGCUAUGCUAGAAGGGUACCAUUUGAAAAGGAAGUGUAUGACCCACCGUGAAAUGGAACUGGUAGCUGGUCACCCAGGUGCUCUUCCUUGUUAACUGAUGAGAGCGAUUAUUAUGUGAGAACUUUAACAACCUGCCAAAGGAUCCCGGGGCAAGAAUGAGAGCUGAACCAUUGAAAAGCUGAGCAUCGAAGUGCCUGGGAAGCCCAAAACUCAGCACAUUCAUGCUUUUGCUGGUUUUUGACCAUUGAGAAGAAAAAAGAGUCAGCAACCAGGGAGCAGGAUGAGUGGAUCUGGUUCAGAACAUCUGUGAACACAGAGGGAGUGGAAACUUCACUUUCAACAUCAUCAGCCAACUUCCCUCCCAUUACAAUUCUAUCUCAAGAUCAAGGUCAUGCAACAAAAGGCCACAUCCACUACUCCUACAGUUCCGUUUCAGAGGCCAUCGGAGCUCUACAUCUAUUAUUUACUACCGAUAUCCACAUCAAGCCUCCCUCCCUUGCUCUUCAUGAAAUGCAUCCACGAUGGGACAUUGAUCUCAUUAUUCUGUGAGG
This 753-nucleotide long non-coding RNA is filed under the name Homo sapiens (human). RNAcentral describes it as "long non-coding RNA NONHSAT215864.1". The record is from RNAcentral. Lineage: Eukaryota; Metazoa; Chordata; Mammalia; Primates; Hominidae.